Poecilia latipinna (sailfin molly) is the source of this 1355-nucleotide long non-coding RNA. RefSeq lists it as uncharacterized. The transcript has 3 exons. The record is from RefSeq and is a predicted model, not a curated record. Lineage: Eukaryota; Metazoa; Chordata; Actinopteri; Cyprinodontiformes; Poeciliidae.
GUCAGCCCCAGCCCUGGUCCCGGAAUUCGACCGUCUCCUCUUCCUCCACCCUACGAUCCCUAUUCAACCGCAGCAGACUUGGGGAAAAGACAAAGGUCACUAGGUGAUGAAGAUUCUGUUCGUUUAAAAGAAAUUGGACAGAUUGGCUUUGCUGCUUUUCCGGAAGAGAACUUUGCCUCGCUAGGACAGAGACUCUGACCAAGGACGUCUAAAGGUUUCGGCUGCCAAGAUCGACUAACAACGGGUAAAAGGUGGCCUGAGGUGACAGAGGUCGCUAAUGAAUGUCAGCAGAAGAAAGGAACUCGUCUGACCCGAUUGACACACCAACACACCUGCAAGACCCAAAUCAAGCAGCCAGUUGGGAUAAUCGCGGGCCUACGGUUCUACAGCGGAUUGACCUGUUUAGCACGGAUCUGCUCUCCAAAUUCUGACUAAGCAUCUGCCCUGCAGUCAUCCAUUGUCACCUCUUUGCUCGAAUGACUUCUGACAACAAAAAGACAUGACAAGUUAAAUGUUUUACAGUAAGCUCCAAGAAUAAUGGAGCUCAGCAUACUCUCUUUUUUUGUAUUUAUUUAUUAGUCUUCCUCAGUUUCCCUCCUCUCCACCUGCCACAGCUGUACCACAUUUCCUAUGAUUAGUUCAUUGUCAUUUUCCACCUCUGCCUCCUGGAUUUUCAUUGUUUUUCAUGUUCUUCUGUAAAAAUCUCUCUUCACUAUCUGCAUUGAUCUUCCUGCUUUUAUGUGCCACUUUUUUCCUAGCACAGAUUUAUGAAUUUUCAUUAACAUUCUCCAAUUUGGAUUACAGUUUUCUCUUAAUUUAGGUCUUUUCUAACCACAAAUUAUAACAGGGGUUUGCUGGACGUCAAUACAGAGUUAUGAAACUGUGUCCUCUGCCAGAUUUCUCUCCUUCCAGCCACAAAGCACAUAUAAACCCCACCAAAACAACCCUGUCUCAUUACCAGCACAUCAAGAAAACGUAGAGUUGCCAACUGUAAACUUUUCCCCUCUCUGACCAGCUGCAUCCGUUGGAUUGACUUAGUUAUUUUCUUCGCUGCUGUAAGUAAAAGUUACCACAAAUCAGCCACAGGCUGGAAAUAUGCAAACGAAAUCUGUUUAAUGAUCAGGAAGCUGACGAAAUAUACAGCAGAUGCGGUGUCCAAAACACUCAAAAAUAUUUUCAUACUGUUUCUGAGAUUUAAAAAUAUUCUUUUCUUUUUCUUGAUUGUGUUGAGUGACACCUCCCUCUUUGAAUUUCUGUCACUGUAAGACAGUCAGAGUGGGACAUCCCACUCUUAUGCAGGGUCCCUUUUUUUUAAUUUACUAUUUUUCAGUGUUAUUUAAGUGAUGUGAGAACAA